GACGAACGCUGGCGGCGUGCUUAACACAUGCAAGUCGAACGGAAAGGCCCUGCUUGCAGGGUACUCGAGUGGCGAACGGGUGAGUAAAACGUGGGUGAUCUGCCCUGCACUUCGGGAUAAGCCUGGGAAACUGGGUCUAAUACCGGAUAGGAGCCCUUUUUAGUGUGAUGGUUGGAAAGUUUUUUCGGUGUAGGAUGAGCUCGCGGCCUGUCAGCUUGUUGGUGGGGUAAUGGCCUACCAAGGCGGCGACGGGUAGCCGGCCUGAGAGGGUGGACGGCCACAUUGGGACUGAGAUACGGCCCAGACUCCUACGGGAGGCAGCAGUGGGGAAUAUUGCACAAUGGGCGCAAGCCUGAUGCAGCGACGCCGCGGGGGGGAUGACGGGCUUCGGGUUGUAAACUCCUUUCGCUAGGGACGAAGCUGUUUGUGACGGUACCUAGAUAAGAAGCACCGGCUAACUACGUG
RNAcentral lists this ribosomal RNA (465 nucleotides) under uncultured bacterium. RNAcentral's name for it is "partial 16S ribosomal RNA". It matches the Rfam family "Bacterial small subunit ribosomal RNA", at positions 28 to 507 of the family's 1533-position model. The record is from RNAcentral.